CCAGAUUAUUACUAAUAGUCAAAACUUUCAACAACGGAUCUCUUGGUUCUCGCAUCGAUGAAGAACGCAGCGAAAUGCGAUACGUAAUAUGAAUUGCAGAUAUUCGUGAAUCAUCGAAUCUUUGAACGCACAUUGCGCCCUCUGGUAUUCCGGAGGGCAUGCCUGUUUGAGCGUCGUUUCUCCCUCAAACCGCUGGGUUUGGUGUUGAGCAAUACCACUUGGGUUUGCUUGAAAGACGGUAGUGGUAAGGCGGGAUCGCUUUGACAAUGGCUUAGGUCUAACCAAAAACAUUGCUUGCGGCGGUAACGUCUACCACGUAUAUCUUCAAACUUUGACCUCAAAUCAGGUAGGACUACCCGCUGAACUUAAGCAUAUCAAUAAAGC
This 384-nucleotide ribosomal RNA is filed under the name Candida albicans. Its description in RNAcentral is "eukaryotic LSU rRNA". The stretch from base 23 to 176 matches the Rfam family "5.8S ribosomal RNA". Lineage: Eukaryota; Fungi; Ascomycota; Pichiomycetes; Serinales; Debaryomycetaceae. The record is from RNAcentral.